This 2564-nucleotide long non-coding RNA is filed under the name Homo sapiens (human). RNAcentral's name for it is "HSALNT0119811". The record is from RNAcentral. Lineage: Eukaryota; Metazoa; Chordata; Mammalia; Primates; Hominidae.
UCACAGUGGCGCGCCGUUCCGAGCAAUGAGACUGCAGGCACAGGUGCGGCCGGAUUCCCUGUCGCUGUCCCGCGCUGAGUGAAUUUUGCCUCGGAGCUGGUCCGAGGUCGCGCCUGCUCUUUUGUGUGCCCAAGGCAGAUUUCCAGAAGUAGAAAUCUGUCUUCUAACUCUAAGGCCUUGGGAGAUGAAGGAUCCGUGAUUCAAAGGCAGAAAGAGAUGGAGUCUUGCUGUGUUCUCCAGGAUUGAGUACAGUGGCUUAUUCACAGAUGUGAUCAUACUACACUACAGCCUCAAACUCCCGGGGUCAAGCAGUCCUCCUGCUUCAGCCUCCUGAGGAGCUGGGACUACAGGCCCACAUCACCAUGCCCACUAGAUUCACAGUCAUUUUGCUUGUGGAAGGUCUUGCCUCAAUGUUGAUAGGUGCUGACUGAUCAGGGUCAGGUUGCUGACUGAUCAGAAUGGUAGUUUCUGAAUGUUGGGAAUGGCUAUGGCAAUUUCUUAAAAUAAGACAACAAUGAAGUUUGCUGCAUUGAUUGACUCCCUUUCACAAAGGAUUUCUCCAUAUCAUGCAAUGCUGUUUGAUAGCAUUUUACCCAUAGUAGAACUUCUUUCAAAAUUGGAGUCAAUUCUCUCAAACCUUGUCUCUGCUUGGUCAACUAAGUUUAUGCACUAUUCCACAUCCUUUGUUGUCAUUUCAACAAUAUUUACAGAGUCUUCACCAUGAAUAGAUUCCUUUUCAAACAACCACUUUCUUUGCUCAGCCAUAAGAAGCAACUCUUCACCCAUUCAAGUUUUAUCAUGAGAUUGCAGCAAUUCAGUCACAUCAAAUUCCACUUCUAAUUCUAGUUGUUUUUCUAUUUCCACCACAUCUGCAGGUACUUUCUCCACAGAAAUUUCAAACCUCUCAAAGUCAUCCGUGAGGGUUGGAAUCAACUUCCAAAUUUCUGUGAAUGUUGAUAUUUUGACCUCCUCCUAAUCACAAAUGUUCUUAAUGGCAUCUAGAAUGGUGAAUCUUUUCCAGAAGGUUUUCUAUGUGCUUUGCCCAGUUCCAUCAGAAGAAUCACUGUCUGUGGUAGCUCUAGCCUUAUUAAAUGUAUAUUUUAAAUAAUAACACCUAAAAAUCAAAAUGACUCCUUGAUCCAUGGGCUGUAGAAUAGACAUUGUGUUAGCAGUCAUGAAAACAAGAUUAAUCUCCUCAUAUAGCACCAUUAUAGCUCUUGGGUGACCACGUGCAUUGUCAAUGACCAGUAAUAUUUUGAAAGGACACCUUUUUUUUUGAGCAGUAGGUCUCAACAGUGGACUUAAAAUAUUCAGAAAGCUGUGUUGUAAACAGAUGUGCUGCCAGCUAGGUAUCGUUGUUCCAUUUAUAGAGCACUGGUAGAGCAGAUUUAGCAUAAUUUGUCAGGACCCUAGGAUUUUUGGAAUGGUAAAUGGGCACUGGCUUCAACUUCAAGUAACCAACUGCAUUAACUCCUAACAAGAAGAGUCAGCCUGUCCUUGAAAGUAUGAAAACAGGCAUGGACUUCUCCUCUCUAGCUAUGAAAGUCUUAGAUGGCAUCUUCUUCCAAUAGAAGUUGUUUCAUGUACAUUGAAAAUCUGUUGUUUGGUGUAGCCACCCUCUUCGAUGAUCUUAGCUAGAUCUUCUGGAUAACUUGCUACAGUUUCUACAUCAGCACUUGUUGCCUUACCUUACACUUUCAUGUUAAGGAGAUAGCUUCUUUCCUUAAACCACAGGAACGAACCUCUGCUAUCUUCUAGAUUUUCUUGGGCAACUUCCUUACUUCUUUCAGCUUUCAUAGAACUGAAUAGUGUUAGGAUCUUGCUCUGGGUUAGGUUUUGGCUUAAGGGAAUGUGGUAGCUGGUUUGAUUUAUUUAGACCACUAAAACUUUCUUCAUAUCAGCAUUAAGGCUGGUUUGCUUUAUUAUCAUUUAUGUGUUCACUGGAGUAGCACUUUAAAUUUCCUCCAAGCUUGUUUGCUUUUCACUCACAGUGUGGCUGUUUGGUGCCAAGAGGCCUAGCUUCCCAGUCUUGGCUUUCAACAUGCCUUCCUCACUAAGCAUAGUCAUUUCUAGCUAUUUAUUUAAAGUUAGAGAUGUGCAACUCUUCUUUCACUUGAACACUUAGAGGCUAUUGUAGGGUUAUUACUUGGCUUAAUUGCAAUAUUGUUGUGUCUGGAGGAAUAGAGAGGCCUGGGGACACAAAGAGAAAUGGGGAACAGCUGGUCACUGGAGCAGUGAGAACACACGCAACAUUUAUUGAUUAAAUUCGCUGUUUUAUGGGCUCGGUUCAUGGUGCUCCAAAACAAUUAUAAUAGUAACAUCAAACAUCACUGUUCACAGGUCACCAUAACAGAUAUAAUGAUAAUGAUAAUAAUAAUAAUGUUUGAAAUAUUGCAAGAAUUACCAAAAUGUGACUCAGAGAAACAAUAAAGUGAGCACAUGCUGUUGGAAAAAUGGUACUGAUAGACUUGAUCCAUGCAGGGUUGCCACAAACGAUUAAUUUGCAAAAAAAACAAACAAAAGAACAUGCAGUAUCUGUGAAGCACAAUAAAGCAUACUGCAAA